RNAcentral lists this ribosomal RNA (741 nucleotides) under uncultured Candidatus Poseidoniales archaeon. Its description in RNAcentral is "bacterial SSU rRNA". It matches the Rfam family "Archaeal small subunit ribosomal RNA", at positions 102 to 857 of the family's 1478-position model. The record is from RNAcentral. Lineage: Archaea; Methanobacteriati; Thermoplasmatota; Candidatus Poseidoniia; Candidatus Poseidoniales.
GGAUAACCUGCCCUAUUGUCUGGAAUAACCUCGGGAAACUGAGAACAAGGCCGGAUAACCCACAAUGCCUGGAACGGUUUGUGGGUGAAGAUAGGAUGGGUCUGCGGCGUAUCAGGUCGUAGGGGGUGUAAUGGACCUCCUAGCCACCGACGCGUACGGGUGUUGGGAGACAUAGCCCGGAGAUGGAUUCUGAGACACGAAUCCAGACCCUACGGGGUGCAGCAGGCGCGAAAACUUCACACUGCAGGAAACUGUGAUGAGGGAACUCCAAGUGCAUCCACUAUGUGGAUGCUUUUUUUGACUAUUAAUCGGUCAACGAAUAAGGGCUGGGAAAGACCGGUGCCAGCCGCCGCGGUAAUACCGGCAGCUCAAGUGGUCGUCGCUUUUAUUGGGCCUAAAACGUCCGUAGCCUGUUUGGUAAAUCUGUGGGUAAAUCAACCAGCUUAACUGGUUGAAUUCUGCAGAGACUGCCAGACUAGGGACCGGGAGAGGUGUGGGGUACUCUAGGGGUAGGGGUAAAAUCCUGUCAUCCUUAGAGGACCACCAGUUGCGAAGGCGCCACACUGGAACGGAUCCGACGGUCAGGGACGAAGCCUAGGGGCACGAACCGGAUUAGAUACCCGGGUAGUCCUAGGUGUAAACGCUGUGAACUUGGUGUCGGGGAUCCGCAAUGGGUCCUCGGUGCCGGAGUGAAGAUGUUAAGUUCACUGCCUGGGGAGUACGGUCGCAAGGCUGAAACUU